UACGGAGGAUGCAAGCGUUAUCCGGAUUUAUUAGGUUUAAAGGGUGUGUAGGCUGAUGUAUAAGUCAGUGGUGAAAGUCUGUAGCUCAACUAUAGAAUUGCCAUUGAUACUGUAUGUCUUGAGUGUGGUUGAGGUAUGCGGAAUGUGUAGUGUAGCGGUGAAAUGCAUAGAUAUUACACAGAACACCGAUUGCGAAGGCAGCAUGCUAAGCCACAACUGACGCUGAUGCACGAAAGCGUGGGGAUCAAACAGG
This 253-nucleotide ribosomal RNA is filed under the name uncultured bacterium. Its description in RNAcentral is "partial 16S ribosomal RNA". It matches the Rfam family "Bacterial small subunit ribosomal RNA", at positions 524 to 776 of the family's 1533-position model. The record is from RNAcentral.